Molecule: long non-coding RNA, 2088 nt
Filed under: Lathyrus oleraceus (garden pea)
Lineage: Eukaryota; Viridiplantae; Streptophyta; Magnoliopsida; Fabales; Fabaceae
Description: Pisum sativum (pea) long non-coding RNA (PSAT_LNC019857)
Source: RNAcentral
AACAUCUCAAAUAAAUUUAUUUAAAUUUUUUAUGGAAUAUUCAUCGUUAUUAAAAGUAAUAGCUUGUAGACUAAGGCAUCUAGUGUUGCACUAUAUAUGAUGUAUGAAAAUGAUGAUAUAAAUAUAAGUGAUAUGCAUGGUAGCAUUAGCUUAUGCAUAUGUUACUAUAUAUGCAUCUAGUGUUGCACUAUAUAUGAUGUAUGAAAAUGAUGAUAUAAACAUAAGUGAUAUGCAUGGUAGCAUUAGCUUAUGCACAUGUUACUAUAAAUACUAGGACAUUGCAUUUGUAAAAACUCAAUUUAUUAGUGUAUGAUAUAAUAAUAUGAUGGUAUUAGAGUCAAUUUCUUCUGCUUUAAAUUAUCUUAAGUAAUUUUCAGUUACGGUUAUUAUCAAUUUCAUGGAUUCUAACCACCUAUUUUUCCUUGAUUCUCCAUGGUCGAACCUUCGUAUCUUGUUACUGUUUCAUCAUCGGGAAGUUUAGUGCAGAAUAGACAGAAUUUUUCGAUCAAUCUAGCAGAUUCUUCUUCUUCCUCGCAUUAAUUCGGACCGUAGAUAUCCAUCAAAUUGCAGGAUAAUAACUACUUGUUAUAGAAUCAACAAGUUAAGGAAGUGAUUCUUGCUCAAAGAGUGCACAAGAUAGUGGUGAACCCUUAGAUUCCACAAAGAUUCAAAUUAGAACAAGGUCGUGUUAAACAUAAAGUUUCAAAUGAAUAUGAGGCGUGGAUAGAGCACGAUCAAUCUAUUUUCAUAUGGCUUCUUUCCACCAUCUCUAAAUAUGUGUUACCUCGCGUGUUAUCAUGCACGCGUACAUUUAAAGUGUGGGACAAGAUUCACAAUUAUUUCAACGCACAUGAAAGCUCGCGUUUGGUAACUUCGAGCCCAAUUGAAAUAUAUCAAGAAAGGUAAUAUCUCCAUCACUAAGCACAUGCUUAGUGUUAAGGAAAUCACAAACUCGUUAUUAGCUAUUAAAGAUGUUUUUCAGAGCAAGAACAAAUUAAUUCAAUUCUUAAUGGCUUUCUAGAAAAGUAUAACCCUUUCGUCAUGCAAAUGUAUGGUACCUCUGAACCUUAAAUGUUGUAUGAUGUGGAAGUUUUCCUCUAUGCGCAAGAGGCUUAACUUGACAAGUUUAGGCAGGACCUAGUUGUGUCAACUGUCAUCGAAAAUAUGGCAAAUGCAAAUAAUCAAAUAGGUGGUGUCAAGAGAAUGUUGUACAUAAUCGAGGUAGAGGUUACAUGACUCAGGGAAGAGGUUAUGGUAGAGGUUGAUUAUCAACUGGUACAAGACCUACAUGUUAAUCAUGUGGUAAAUAUGGCCAUGUUGUAGUUGAUUAUUGGCACAGGUUUGAUAAGGCUUUCACACCUACUCAAACUUAGUCGAAGUUGACAAAAUUUCCAGGUGCCUCGACUGACAAACUAGAAGCUUUCACAUAUAAUUCUCAAGAACUAGACAUGAUGAACUCUACACAUGCAUAUUCGCUUCUCAUCACAUUACCUCUGAUUCAUCUUGUUUGUGUUGUCAAUGGUCAAUCCUUAGAAACUCACUAUGUAGGUUCCUCUUGUGUGUUUUCGAAAUCUUAUGUAGGACACAGUCAAGUUUGUGUUGCCAAUGGUCAAUCCUUAGAAAUUCAUUAUGUAGGUUCCUCUUGCGUGUUUUCUAAAUCUUAUCCUUCUAUUUCACUUAAAAUUAAUGAUACUUAUUAUGUCCCUUGCAUCACAAGAAACUUACUCUUAGACUCAAUUUUUUUAGACAUAAUUGUGUUGUGUUUGAGUUCAUUGCUGACAAAUGUUACAUCAAAUCUCAGGUUUCUAAACUCACUCUACUUGGAGGCUUUCUUCACUCAAUCAGAUUGUAUUGCUUUCCACAGCUGCUAUUGAAGUCUUCAAGCAUAUCUUCCCAUAAUCAUCAUAUUUCAUUUUCUUCAUACAUAAAUAUCAAUUCUAUAUCUUUCUCUAUUGUUUCUAAUGUAACUAAUCCUAGCACUAGUUUGUGGAACUAUAGACCAUGUCAUGCCCAUUUUCCUGCUAUUAAACUUUCUCUCAAAUAUUGUAAUACUCAUAUUUAAAAUAAAGUGAAUAUUAUGUAUGUAAA